RNAcentral lists this ribosomal RNA (182 nucleotides) under Aeromonas hydrophila. RNAcentral describes it as "partial 16S ribosomal RNA". It matches the Rfam family "Bacterial small subunit ribosomal RNA", at positions 1 to 174 of the family's 1533-position model. The record is from RNAcentral. Lineage: Bacteria; Pseudomonadati; Pseudomonadota; Gammaproteobacteria; Aeromonadales; Aeromonadaceae. RNAcentral also lists the same sequence under 1 other name.
AAAUUGAAGAGUUUGAUCAUGGCUCAGAUUGAACGCUGGCGGCAGGCCUAACACAUGCAAGUCGAGCGGCAGCGGGAAAGUAGCUUGCUACUUUUGCCGGCGAGCGGCGGACGGGUGAGUAAUGCCUGGGAAAUUGCCCAGUCGAGGGGGAUAACAGUUGGAAACGACUGCUAAUACCGCAU